AGCAGUGGGGAAUUUUGGACAAUGGGCGCAAGCCUGAUCCAGCAAUGCCGCGUGAGUGAAGAAGGCCUUCGGGUUGUAAAGCUCUUUUGUCAGGGAAGAAACGGUGAAGGCUAAUAUCCUUUGCUAAUGACGGUACCUGAAGAAUAAGCACCGGCUAACUACGUGCCAGCAGCCGCGGUAAUACGUAGGGUGCAAGCGUUAAUCGGAAUUACUGGGCGUAAAGCGUGCGCAGGCGGUUUUGUAAGUUUGUCGUGAAAGCCCCGGGCUCAACCUGGGAAUUGCGAUGAAGACUGCAAGGCUUGAAUCUGGCAGAGGGGGGUAGAAUUCCACGUGUAGCAGUGAAAUGCGUAGAGAUGUGGAGGAACACCGAUGGCGAAGCAGCCCCCUGGGUCAAGAUUGACGCUCAUG
RNAcentral lists this ribosomal RNA (408 nucleotides) under uncultured bacterium. RNAcentral describes it as "bacterial SSU rRNA". It matches the Rfam family "Bacterial small subunit ribosomal RNA", at positions 350 to 751 of the family's 1533-position model. The record is from RNAcentral.